AGUUAUUUAGCUUAUAUAAAGUGUAUAUUUUGAAAAUAUGAGAAAGAACAAUUUAAUAACUU
RNAcentral lists this transfer RNA (62 nucleotides) under Iassus dorsalis. RNAcentral's name for it is "tRNA-Ser". The record is from RNAcentral. RNAcentral also lists the same sequence under 1 other name. Lineage: Eukaryota; Metazoa; Arthropoda; Insecta; Hemiptera; Cicadellidae.